AGAGGGGGACAACAGUUGGAAACGACUGCUAAUACCGCAUAAGCCCACGGGUCGGCAUCGACCAGAGGGAAAAGGAGCAAUCCGCUUUGAGAUGGCCUCGCGUCCGAUUAGCUAGUUGGUGAGGUAACGGCCCACCAAGGCAACGAUCGGUAGCCGGACUGAGAGGUUGAACGGCCACAUUGGGACUGAGACACGGCCCAGACUCCUACGGGAGGCAGCAGUGGGGAAUAUUGCACAAUGGGGGAAACCCUGAUGCAGCGACGCCGCGUGGAGGAAGAAGGUCUUCGGAUUGUAAACUCCUGUUGUUGAGGAAGAUAAUGACGGUACUCAACAAGGAAGUGACGGCUAACUACGUGCCAGCAGCCGCGGUAAAACGUAGGUCACAAGCGUUGUCCGGAAUUACUGGGUGUAAAGGGAGCGCAGGCGGGAAGACAAGUUGGAAGUGAAAUCCAUGGGCUCAACCCAUGAACUGCUUUCAAAACUGUUUUUCUUGAGUAGUGCAGAGGUAGGCGGAAUUCCCGGUGUAGCGGUGGAAUGCGUAGAUAUCGGGAGGAACACCAGUGGCGAAGGCGGCCUACUGGGCACCAACUGACGCUGAGGCUCGAAAGUGUGGGUAGCAAACAGGAUUAGAUACCCUGGUAGUCCACACCGUAAACGA
This 658-nucleotide ribosomal RNA is filed under the name uncultured bacterium. RNAcentral's name for it is "bacterial SSU rRNA". It matches the Rfam family "Bacterial small subunit ribosomal RNA", at positions 135 to 809 of the family's 1533-position model. The record is from RNAcentral.